GAAAUAAGCUGACCUAUCGCCAGAUUUUAGGAUUUGGAGGAAAGUCCGAACAACAUAGAGCAUCAUGCUACCUAACGGGUAGGGGAGACUUGUCUUCACAGCUAGUGCCACAGAAAAUACCGCCUAGCGAGAGCUCGGUAAGGGUGAAAAGGGGGUGUAAGAGACCACCGGUUUUGUUGUGAAGCAAAACGCAGAGGUAAACCUCAUGAGUUGAAAGACCAAAUAAACCGACAUUAAAGAGUUGCUCGCUCAAGUCGGAGGGUAGGUUGAUAAAGGUUUUGAGCGAUCAAAACACUAGAUAAAUGAUAGGAUAGAACAGAAUUCGGCUUAUUAGCUUAUUUCAUUU
RNAcentral lists this RNase P RNA (346 nucleotides) under Lacihabitans sp. LS3-19. Its description in RNAcentral is "RNase P RNA component class A". It matches the Rfam family "Bacterial RNase P class A". Rfam says of the family: Ribonuclease P (RNase P) is a ubiquitous endoribonuclease, found in archaea, bacteria and eukarya as well as chloroplasts and mitochondria. Its best characterised activity is the generation of mature 5'-ends of tRNAs by cleaving the 5'-leader elements of precursor-tRNAs. The record is from RNAcentral. Lineage: Bacteria; Pseudomonadati; Bacteroidota; Cytophagia; Cytophagales; Leadbetterellaceae.